This 774-nucleotide ribosomal RNA is filed under the name uncultured bacterium. RNAcentral describes it as "bacterial SSU rRNA". It matches the Rfam family "Bacterial small subunit ribosomal RNA", at positions 134 to 917 of the family's 1533-position model. The record is from RNAcentral.
CAGAGGGGGGAUAACAUUCGGAAACGGAUGCUAAAACCGCAUAGGUCCUUUAACCGCAUGGUUGAAGGAGGAAAAGAGGCGCAAGCUUCUGCUGAUGGAUGGACCCGCGGUGCAUUAGCUAGUUGGUGAGGUAACGGCUCACCAAGGCCGUGAUGCAUAGCCGACCUGAGAGGGUGAUCGGCCACAUUGGGACUGAGACACGGCCCAAACUCCUACGGGAGGCAGCAGUGGGGAAUAUUGGACAAUGGGGGAAACCCUGAUCCAGCGACGCCGCGUGAGUGAAGAAGUAUUUCGGUAUGUAAAGCUCUAUCAGCAGGGAAGAAAAUGACGGUACCUGACUAAGAAGCCCCGGCUAACUACGUGCCAGCAGCCGCGGUAAUACGUAGGGGGCAAGCGUUAUCCGGAUUUACUGGGUGUAAAGGGAGCGCAGACGGCGAAGCAAGUCUGAAGUGAAAUGCAUGGGCUCAACCCAUGAAUUGCUUUGGAAACUGUUUGGCUUGAGUGUCGGAGGGGUAAGCGGAAUUCCUAGUGUAGCGGUGAAAUGCGUAGAUAUUAGGAGGAACACCGGAGGCGAAGGCGGCUUACUGGAGGACAACUGACGUUGAGGCUCGAAGGCGUGGGGAGCAAACAGGAUUAGAUACCCUGGUAGUCCACGCAGUAAACGAUGAAUACUUGGUGUCGGGGAGGUAAACUCUUCGGUGCCGCAAGCAAACGCAUUAAGUAUUCCACCUGGGGAGUACGUUCGCAAGAAUGAAACUCAAAGGAAUUGACGGC